UUAGUCAAAUUCUCCCACCGUUUCAUUUUAAAGAUGUUUACAGCUUUAGGAACCUACUUUUCAUCCUGAGUUUUCAUCCCACCGGAGAUUGGCGGCUUCAACUUCAUUGUCGCUGAGGCUGGUGGCCCAUUGGUGUCGGGUACAGUUUAUUGAUACAUAGGAGUUUAUAGGUAGGUUGGUUUUUGUAUACCUCUGUGUCGAAAGAAAUAUGUGUAUGUUGUUUGCUGCAAAUGAAUUGAUUUCAUUGCAUUUCAGGCUUAAUGACUUGAAGCAACGUGUUUGCUUACUUGCCAAAGCUUUUAACGUGUUUCGGGAGUGAUACACAUGGAGAAUACCAAUGGCUACACAUUCCAGGUUUGAGCAUUUGCUUGCUGUCUAUUUGCCAUACAUGACGAUAAAGAAAGCCAACAAAUUUUCAAGUCAUGUUCGCUGAUUAGGAUUGGAUUAGUCUUGGGUUAAGUAGAAUUUGAUUGAAGAGGCUAACAUUAAGUAUUUGUGGGUUAAUUUUCGCAUUGUUAGAUUUUUUGUAUGCAGAGAAAGGUUUCUGGCUCUUAUAUACCUAACUAUUAGCCUUUUAUUUGUAUUAUUUCUUUGUUCCAUAUAAGUAUUGCUUGCAAUGUCA
Pyrus x bretschneideri (Chinese white pear) is the source of this 622-nucleotide long non-coding RNA. RefSeq lists it as uncharacterized. The record is from RefSeq and is a predicted model, not a curated record. Lineage: Eukaryota; Viridiplantae; Streptophyta; Magnoliopsida; Rosales; Rosaceae. The transcript is spliced from 2 exons.